Molecule: ribosomal RNA, 301 nt
Filed under: uncultured bacterium
Lineage: Bacteria
Description: partial 16S ribosomal RNA
Rfam family: Bacterial small subunit ribosomal RNA
Source: RNAcentral
CAGUAGCCGCGGUAAUACGUAGGUGGCAAGCGUUGUCCGGAAUUAUUGGGCGUAAAGGGCUCGCAGGCGGUUUCUUAAGUCUGAUGUGAAAGCCCCCGGCUCAACCGGGGAGGGACAUUGGAAACUGGGAAACUUGAGUGCAGAAGAGGAGAGUGGAAUUCCACGUGUAGCGGUGAAAUGCGUAGAGAUGUGGAGGAACACCAGUGGCGAAGGCGACUCUCUGGUCUGUAACUGACGCUGAGGAGCGAAAGCGUGGGGAGCGAACAGGAUUAGAUACCCCAGUAGUCCCUGUCUCUUAUAC